Molecule: ribosomal RNA, 253 nt
Filed under: uncultured prokaryote
Description: partial 16S ribosomal RNA
Rfam family: Bacterial small subunit ribosomal RNA
Source: RNAcentral
UACGUAGGGGGCGAGCGUUGUCCGGAGUUACUGGGCGUAAAGGGCAUGCAGGCGGUCAGGCGCGUUUUGUGUGACAGCGGAUGGCUUAACUGUCCGAGGAUACGAAAGACGGCGUGACUUGAGAGCGCGAGAGGGACACGGAAUUCCGGGUGGAGUGGUGAAAUGCGUAGAGAUCCGGAGGAACACCGAAGGCGAAGGCAGUGUCCUGGCGCGUAUCUGACGCUGAGGCACGAAAGCGUGGGGAGCAAACAGG